Hippocampus zosterae (dwarf seahorse) is the source of this 1483-nucleotide long non-coding RNA. RefSeq lists it as uncharacterized. The transcript has 3 exons. NCBI's taxonomy places the organism in Eukaryota, Metazoa, Chordata, Actinopteri, Syngnathiformes, Syngnathidae. The record is from RefSeq and is a predicted model, not a curated record.
GUGUAAAUGCGCGCGUGUGCGGUAAACAGGUUGAACGCGGAAGUCAGUUGAUCAAAAAGUAGGUCUUCGGUCAAAAAAGCUCGGCCGCCCUGAAAAUCGCGUCACAUGAAGCAGGAAAAAACGCCUGUCUGACGACAGGGAACGCGCUUCGAAUCUCUGUCACCGUUGUGGAAGUUCCUGCUGCGUGUUUACGUAAGAUUGGAAUGUUGAGCCUUUCCUGCAAACUGUUGCCGGGAACACUGUGUUCUGGAGAGGAAGAAAACAAGCGCCCUGACCUCACCAUGGGUCAGGCGUGUUUGUUUACAUCCACUGCGGAACCGCUCAUCAGGGUAGCGUUUGCGCAAAUAAUUCCCAGGAUAUGACCAGCGGAAAGUGUCCUUCUCAUUGCCAUUCCAGAAAGAAGGAGACGCGUGAGAAUCAAGUUUGCACACGAGCUGGGAUAGCACCUUAAUAAAACGAAGACGCUACGCGUUUCUGGCUUUUUCCUGCUCGGCUGGUUGGUUGAACAUUCCGGCGGGCGGAAGAGAAUGUUGAGAGAUGACAUGACACAAAGUUAAUCAUGGGCAAAGAAUAUGUUCAUCUUCGUUUUGAUCUGAUGCACAUCAAUUAUCUUAAAGAGAAGAAAGGCAUAAUAGAGCAAUCGUUCCUGUUCGCUGCGCCUUCAGUAAUUUAGGGGUGGGAAAUAACAGAUAACAUAUGAUUUUAGUCACUACGUUUGAGAUAGGCAGCAGGGUGCACAAAUCUGGGGUUAUCAGUCUGAAAUUUGCAAGGAAGAAUUUGAGAAGUUUGUCUAUUCUUCCAGUAAGAAGAAUAUGCAAAGUCUGUUGGGGGUUUUUUUGUUGUUGUUUGUUUUUUCCGGGAUAGUGCCGCUUCUUCCCAUAUUCCAAAAAAUAUGAAUGUUAGGUGAACAGAAGCCUCUUGGUGUUGAUACGAGUGUAAAUGCUUGUUUAUUUAUAUGUGCACUGACAUUGACUGUUGGGCUACUCAUUCGCAUUCCUGCUUGUUUUCCAUCUCGGCCCCGCUGGAACAUCCUCGAUUCAAAUGAUCAGAUCAUCAGUAAGAUCUGCAGAAGCUGGAUAAUGUGUUGCUGCGGGGGCGUGGGGAUGGUAACAGGCUGGGCGGUGCCGUUUGAGGAACUGGACUGAAGACCCGUGUAAUGCACAAAACUCUGGUUGCGGUGGUUUUACUUUGCUGAAGUUUGUUAGUUUCAUUCUUACGUGGCUUCCUUGUGAGCAUCCGACUGCACUUGCGCAAGAACAAACAGCAACUUCAAUAAUAAUUCGGAUGAAUCUAAACGGACGGACAACUCCUUCAAUGACCACACCCGUUGAUGUUCCUUGGAAGUUAUUCACCAGUGAGUCAAGAAGGUGUAAAACGUUUGCACCGACCGGCUUCCCGAGGUCCACCUCAGCCUUCGUGGGCGCCACCUGGCAAACGCGGUCGCCAACGUCCGGAUGCAGAAAAAGGGAAGCGGCGAUAACAA